UAGUGUUUAUUCCUUUACCCCCAAUACCAAACGUAAACUCACACAGACACAUGACCACUGCACACAUUGUCCUCGUCCGUCCAGCAGCCGCCGGUCGCCGGAGCCCGGAGCCACUCCAGCCCCUUCUCUUACAGUUUCCCUUGGUCACUCUCUAAGAUGGAGAGCAUUUGUGAAGAUACAAAUGUUUUAGAAGAGAAAUAUAACAAUUUCUAGGCAAAGAAACCGUUUGAUGGAUAAUUAAUUUCUUGGCGAAGAAACCGUCUCAUCUUACAGGGUGUUUGAUGGGCAUGGAGGAAAGGGUGCAUUAAAGUUUGUUCGUGAUAAUUUGCCAAGAAUCAUUGUUGAUGAUGCUAAUUUUCCAAUGGAACUUAAAAAAGCAGUCACGAGGUUGUUUGCAGAGGCAGAUGUUGCAUUUGCGCGGUCAUGUGUUCUUGAAUCUGCUCUUUCUUAUGGCACAACUACGCUUGCCGCUAUGAUCUUUGGGAGAAAAAUACGUUCGUGAAGAUGGCGGUGCAUUUAGUCCAAUCGACGAAAGAAUGUUGGGCAAGUGUGAACAAGAUAUUCAACAAAGAUUGGCUAACCCUGACACAGCUCCAAAUUGUGACAACCCUCACCAAAUCAGGGAAUUAAGGAUCUGGCACGGUAUGCUACGGUUUCAUGUUGCGUAAGAGUUAUGAGGUCAUCCAAGUUUAGGGGUUGUGGCUUUUACCUGGAUGAGUCACAGUUCUUAAACUACGCCUGU
This is a long non-coding RNA of Helianthus annuus (common sunflower), 742 nucleotides long. RefSeq lists it as uncharacterized. The record is from RefSeq and is a predicted model, not a curated record. NCBI's taxonomy places the organism in Eukaryota, Viridiplantae, Streptophyta, Magnoliopsida, Asterales, Asteraceae. The transcript has 5 exons.